AGUGAACGCUGGCGGUAGGCCUAACACAUGCAAGUCGAACGGCAGCACAGUAAGAUCUUGCUCUUACGGGUGGCGAGUGGCGGACGGGUGAGGCAUACAUCGGAAUCUACUUUUUCGUGGGGGAUAACGUAGGGAAACUUACGCUAAUACCGCAUACGACCUACGGGUGAAAGCAGGGGAUCUUCGGACCUUGCGCGAUUGAAUGAGCCGAUGUCGGAUUAGCUAGUUGGCGGGGUAAAGGCCCACCAAGGCGACGAUCCGUAGCUGGUCUGAGAGGAUGAUCAGCCACACUGGAACUGAGACACGGUCCAGACUCCUACGGGAGGCAGCAGUGGGGAAUAUUGGACAAUGGGCGAAAGCCUGAUCCAGCCAUACCGCGUGAGUGAAGAAGGCCUUCGGGUUGUAAAGCCCUUUUGUUGGGAAAGAAAAGCAGCAGGUUAAUACCCCGCUGUUCUGACGGUACCCAAAGAAUAAGCACCGGCUAACUUCGUG
RNAcentral lists this ribosomal RNA (492 nucleotides) under uncultured bacterium. RNAcentral describes it as "partial 16S ribosomal RNA". It matches the Rfam family "Bacterial small subunit ribosomal RNA", at positions 29 to 507 of the family's 1533-position model. The record is from RNAcentral.